GACGAACGCUGGCGGCGUGCCUAAUACAUGCAAGUCGAGCGAACAGACGAGAAGCUUGCUCCUCUGAUGUUAGCGGCGGACGGGUGAGUAACACGUGGAUAACCUACCUAUAAGACUGGGAUAACUUCGGGAAACCGGAGCUAAUACCGGAUAAUAUUUUGAACCGCAUGGUUCAAUAGUGAAAGACGGUUUUGCUGUCACUUAUAGAUGGAUCCGCGCUGCAUUAGCUAGUUGGUAAGGUAACGGCUUACCAAGGCAACGAUGCAUAGCCGACCUGAGAGGGUGAUCGGCCACACUGGAACUGAGACACGGUCCAGACUCCUACGGGAGGCAGCAGUAGGGAAUCUUCCGCAAUGGGCGAAAGCCUGACGGAGCAACGCCGCGUGAGUGAUGAAGGUCUUCGGGUCGUAAAACUCUGUUAUUAGGGAAGAACAAAUGUGUAAGUAACUGUGCACAUCUUGACGGUACCUAAUCAGAAAGCCACGGCUAACUACGUG
RNAcentral lists this ribosomal RNA (497 nucleotides) under uncultured bacterium. Its description in RNAcentral is "partial 16S ribosomal RNA". It matches the Rfam family "Bacterial small subunit ribosomal RNA", at positions 28 to 507 of the family's 1533-position model. The record is from RNAcentral.